UACGUAGGGUCCGAGCGUUGUCCGGAAUUACUGGGCGUAAAGCGUGCGCAGGCGGCUUUCCAAGCGCCACGUGAAAGCCCCGGGCUCAACCCGGGAGGGUCGUGGCGAACUGGGAGGCUUGAGGCCGGUAGAGGUGGGUGGAACUCCUGGUGGAGUGGUGAAAUGCGUUGAUAUCCGCAGGAACUCCGGUGGCGAAGGCGGCGUGCUGGACCCCUUCUGACGCUGAGGCGCGAAAGCCAGGGGAGCGAACGGG
This 253-nucleotide ribosomal RNA is filed under the name uncultured bacterium. Its description in RNAcentral is "partial 16S ribosomal RNA". It matches the Rfam family "Bacterial small subunit ribosomal RNA", at positions 524 to 776 of the family's 1533-position model. The record is from RNAcentral.